RNAcentral lists this ribosomal RNA (253 nucleotides) under uncultured bacterium. RNAcentral describes it as "partial 16S ribosomal RNA". It matches the Rfam family "Bacterial small subunit ribosomal RNA", at positions 524 to 776 of the family's 1533-position model. The record is from RNAcentral.
UACGAAGGGUGCAAGCGUUAAUCGGAAUUACUGGGCGUAAAGCGUGCGUAGGUGGUUUGUUAAGUCUGUUGUGAAAGCCCUGGGCUCAACCUGGGAAUGGCGAUGGAUACUGGCGAGCUAGAGUACGGUAGAGGAUGGUGGAAUUCCCGGUGUAGCGGUGAAAUGCGUAGAGAUCAAGAGGAACACUCGUGGCGAAAGCGAGCUACUGGACAAUUCCUGACGCUGAGGCUCGAAGGCUAGGGUAGCGAAAGGG